GCUAUACAUGCAGUCGAGCGGACAGAAGGGAGCUUGCUCCCGGAUGUUAGCGGCGGACGGGUGAGUAACACGUGGGUAACCUGCCUGUAAGACUGGGAUAACUCCGGGAAACCGGAGCUAAUACCGGAUAGUUCCUUGAACCGCAUGGUUCAAGGAUGAAAGACGGUUUCGGCUGUCACUUACAGAUGGACCCGCGGCGCAUUAGCUAGUUGGUGGGGUAAUGGCUCACCAAGGCAACGAUGCGUAGCCGACCUGAGAGGGUGAUCGGCCACACUGGGACUGAGACACGGCCCAGACUCCUACGGGAGGCAGCAGUAGGGAAUCUUCCGCAAUGGACGAAAGUCUGACGGAGCAACGCCGCGUGAGUGAUGAAGGUUUUCGGAUCGUAAAGCUCUGUUGUUAGGGAAGAACAAGUGCGAGAGUAACUGCUCGCACCUUGACGGUACCUAACCAGAAAGCCACGGCUAACUACGUGCCAGCAGCCGCGUAAUACGUAGGUGGCAAGCGUUGUCCGGAAUUAUUGGGCGU
RNAcentral lists this ribosomal RNA (528 nucleotides) under bacterium fme09x28p301. RNAcentral describes it as "bacterial SSU rRNA". It matches the Rfam family "Bacterial small subunit ribosomal RNA", at positions 48 to 561 of the family's 1533-position model. The record is from RNAcentral.